This 83-nucleotide transfer RNA is filed under the name Nonlabens sp. RNAcentral's name for it is "tRNA-Leu". It matches the Rfam family "tRNA". Rfam says of the family: Transfer RNA (tRNA) molecules are approximately 80 nucleotides in length. Their secondary structure includes four short double-helical elements and three loops (D, anti-codon, and T loops). RNAcentral also lists the same sequence under 1 other name. The record is from RNAcentral. Lineage: Bacteria; Pseudomonadati; Bacteroidota; Flavobacteriia; Flavobacteriales; Flavobacteriaceae.
GCCGGAGUGGUGGAAUUGGUAGACACGCAAGACUUAAAAUCUUGUGAGCUUUGCUCGUGCGGGUUCAAGUCCCGCCUCUGGUA